RNAcentral lists this ribosomal RNA (417 nucleotides) under uncultured Prevotella sp. Its description in RNAcentral is "bacterial SSU rRNA". It matches the Rfam family "Bacterial small subunit ribosomal RNA", at positions 355 to 768 of the family's 1533-position model. Lineage: Bacteria; Pseudomonadati; Bacteroidota; Bacteroidia; Bacteroidales; Prevotellaceae. The record is from RNAcentral.
UGAGGAAUAUUGGGUCAAUGGGCGAGAGCCUGAACCAGCCAAGUCGCGUGAAGGAUGAAGGUUCUAUGGAUUGUAAACUUCUUUUAUUCGAGGGUAAAGUGAGGUAUGUAUACCUUAUUGCAAGUAUCGAAUGAAUAAGCAUCGGCUAAUUCCGUGCCAGCAGCCGCGGUAAUACGGAAGGUCCGGGCGUUAUCCGGAUUUAUUGGGUUUAAAGGGAGCGUAGGCCGGAGGGUAAGCGUGUUGUGAAAUGCAGUUGCUCAACAUCUGCACUGCAGCGCGAACUGUUCUCCUUGAGUGCGCAGGAAGUAGGCGGAAUUCGUCGUGUAGCGGUGAAAUGCUUAGAUAUGACGAAGAACUCCGAUUGGGAAGCCAGCUUACUGUAGCGCCACUGACGCUGAUGCUCGAAAGUGCGGGGUA